This 301-nucleotide ribosomal RNA is filed under the name uncultured bacterium. RNAcentral describes it as "partial 16S ribosomal RNA". It matches the Rfam family "Bacterial small subunit ribosomal RNA", at positions 509 to 807 of the family's 1533-position model. The record is from RNAcentral.
CAGUCGCCGCGGUAAUGCGGAGGGAGCUAGCGUUGUUCGGAAUUAUUGGGCGUAAAGGGCUCGCAGGCGGUUUCUUAAGUCUGAUGUGAAAGCCCCCGGCUCAACCGGGGAGGGUCAUUGGAAACUGGGAAACUUGAGUGCAGAAGAGGAGAGUGGAAUUCCACGUGCAGCGGUGAAAUGCGUAGAGAUGUGGAGGAACACCAGUGGCGAAGGCGACUCUCUGGUCUGUAACUGACGCUGAGGAGCGAAAGCGUGGGGAGCGAACAGGAUUAGAUACCCCAGUAGUCCCUGUCUCUUAUAC